AGUGAACGCUGGCGGUAGGCCUAACACAUGCAAGUCGAACGGCAGCACAGUAAGAGCUUGCUCUUACGGGUGGCGAGUGGCGGACGGGUGAGGAAUACAUCGGAAUCUACUUUUUCGUGGGGGAUAACGUAGGGAAACUUACGCUAAUACCGCAUACGACCUACGGGUGAAAGCAGGGGAUCUUCGGACCUUGCGCGAUUGAAUGAGCCGAUGUCGGAUUAGCUAGUUGGCGGGGUAAAGGCCCACCAAGGCGACGAUCCGUAGCUGGUCUGAGAGGAUGAUCGGCAACAUGGAACCGAGGCACGGGCCCAACUCCUAAGGGGAGGCACAGUGGGGAAUAAUUGGCAAUGGGCGCAAGCCUGAUCCAGCCAUACCGCGUGGGUGAAGAAGGCCUUCGGGUUGUAAAGCCCUUUUGUUGGGAAAGAAAAGCAGCAGGUUAAUACCCCGCUGUUCUGACGGUACCCAAAGAAUAAGCACCGGCUAACUUCGUG
RNAcentral lists this ribosomal RNA (491 nucleotides) under uncultured bacterium. RNAcentral describes it as "partial 16S ribosomal RNA". It matches the Rfam family "Bacterial small subunit ribosomal RNA", at positions 29 to 507 of the family's 1533-position model. The record is from RNAcentral.